Long non-coding RNA from Podarcis muralis (Common wall lizard), 1468 nucleotides. RefSeq lists it as uncharacterized. NCBI's taxonomy places the organism in Eukaryota, Metazoa, Chordata, Lepidosauria, Squamata, Lacertidae. The record is from RefSeq and is a predicted model, not a curated record.
AGUGUAGCGUCCCUAUUUUCCAGGGAUGUCCCUGAUUUAGAGAAGCUGUUUCCCGGAUUCUGAAUGUCCCUCUUUCCGUAUUUUCAUUGGAGAAAUGUUGGAGGACCUUCGGGAGGAAUGGCUUCCAAGCAAGGACAGCUAUCAGAAGACAGCCUGGUCCUGAUGUGGGCAGCAUGGGAACUUUUUUAAGCAAAACAAACAAGAUGGGCAGGCUUGGGGAAUGGAAAACUCUGGCCCUUUCCAUAAAGUCCAGUAAGCUGCCGUACUGUGGGACUGAGGUAAGGAAGAGAAGCAGUGAAGAUACAAUGGGGUGGACCUGCACUUUUAAGACGGGCCUGCUUUUCCAAGACAUCAAUCCAAUGCUGGCUAAAUUCCACAGGGAGAGAGAUCUUAAUGGGCUUGAGUGAGCAGGAAAUUAGACAGAAAGGGAGAUUGGAGCCAGCAGAACUUAGAGCAAGCGAAGAGCAACAGCCACAAAAACCUGCUGGAGUAGCAACGAACAAAGGACUGGCCUGUUCCCAAUCAUGAUAGAAGCCAGCCCUGGAUGCAUGAACCUUUUCAACUACUGUAGGAAUACGGACCCCUGUCUCUCUUUCCCCCGUCCCCUAGAUAAACAUUUUAUCCAGCGGUACCAAUUAUGCACCCCAGAAAUGCUUCUUUCAAAGAAACGCCCAUUGUUUGAAACCCGCUAAAACGUUUACACAGCUUCUACAAUAUGUCCAGGCUUUGCAGUUGUGCAGAAUGCAGUUGUGAAGGAGAGGAAGUUUCUGAUUUAGAGAGCAGCCAUUGGGAAUGUCUAUCAAUACGUGUCUUUGAAAUGGGGUAUUUGAAGUAAAACCUAUUUUAGACGGAAAGGAAGAGUAUCAACAUGUGUUUACAUCAAUAGGAAAUAGCAAAGGAGUGUCAUAGAGCUUUAUGCUGAUGACAACGUAGUGUGUGCACACUCGUAGGAUGACCUCCAGACCAUCCUAAAUAUCUUCAAAGAAGCUUACGGAAAGCUUGGCCUAUUGCUGGUAGAGUAUGUGGAACUGGCGAAGUUGACGGAGAAAAUUAGGAAUCGACCCGACGAAAGAUUUCAAGGAGACUGGAGCAAAUUUAUAAAUUAUUCAAAAGAAAGUUGUAAACACCUAAAACGUUUGUAGCAUUAACGUGAAAUGUUUUGUAAUGUGGAAAGAAGGAGCUAAUUUACAAAUGAAAGGGUGAUUGUUAAAUGAAUAUAUAUGGUAAAGAAGUGAUUAUAGAAAUGUAAUAAAUAUGUUAAAAUAGUAGGAAAGUGAGAAAGAGUGACGGAAGGAAGUCGUUACUUGUUUGGAGUAGUGAUGUAAGCUUGAGAUAUGUAUGAUAUGUAUGAUAAAAUGAAAUGAAAUAUGGAAAACUCAAUAAAAAUCAUGAUUAAAAAAAAGAAAGCUUGGCCUAUUGCUCAGUAUCCAAAAAACCAAUGUGCUGCAUCAACAAACACAAAACAACC